RNAcentral lists this ribosomal RNA (1171 nucleotides) under Pediococcus pentosaceus. Its description in RNAcentral is "bacterial SSU rRNA". It matches the Rfam family "Bacterial small subunit ribosomal RNA", at positions 202 to 1369 of the family's 1533-position model. Lineage: Bacteria; Bacillati; Bacillota; Bacilli; Lactobacillales; Lactobacillaceae. The record is from RNAcentral.
GGCUCUGCUAUCACUUCUGGAUGGACCCGCGGCGUAUUAGCUAGUUGGUGAGGUAAAGGCUCACCAAGGCAGUGAUACGUAGCCGACCUGAGAGGGUAAUCGGCCACAUUGGGACUGAGACACGGCCCAGACUCCUACGGGAGGCAGCAGUAGGGAAUCUUCCACAAUGGACGCAAGUCUGAUGGAGCAACGCCGCGUGAGUGAAGAAGGGUUUCGGCUCGUAAAGCUCUGUUGUUAAAGAAGAACGUGGGUAAGAGUAACUGUUUACCCAGUGACGGUAUUUAACCAGAAAGCCACGGCUAACUACGUGCCAGCAGCCGCGGUAAUACGUAGGUGGCAAGCGUUAUCCGGAUUUAUUGGGCGUAAAGCGAGCGCAGGCGGUCUUUUAAGUCUAAUGUGAAAGCCUUCGGCUCAACCGAAGAAGUGCAUUGGAAACUGGGAGACUUGAGUGCAGAAGAGGACAGUGGAACUCCAUGUGUAGCGGUGAAAUGCGUAGAUAUAUGGAAGAACACCAGUGGCGAAGGCGGCUGUCUGGUCUGCAACUGACGCUGAGGCUCGAAAGCAUGGGUAGCGAACAGGAUUAGAUACCCUGGUAGUCCAUGCCGUAAACGAUGAUUACUAAGUGUUGGAGGGUUUCCGCCCUUCAGUGCUGCAGCUAACGCAUUAAGUAAUCCGCCUGGGGAGUACGACCGCAAGGUUGAAACUCAAAAGAAUUGACGGGGGCCCGCACAAGCGGUGGAGCAUGUGGUUUAAUUCGAAGCUACGCGAAGAACCUUACCAGGUCUUGACAUCUUCUGACAGUCUAAGAGAUUAGAGGUUCCCUUCGGGGACAGAAUGACAGGUGGUGCAUGGUUGUCGUCAGCUCGUGUCGUGAGAUGUUGGGUUAAGUCCCGCAACGAGCGCAACCCUUAUUACUAGUUGCCAGCAUUAAGUUGGGCACUCUAKUGASACUGCCGGUGACAAACCRGARGAAGGUGRGGACGACGUCAAAUCAUCAUGCCCCUUAUGACCUGGGCUACACACGUSCUACAAUGGAUGGUACAACGAGUCGCGARACCGCGAGGUUAAGCUAAUCUCUUAAAACCAUUCUCAGUUCGGACUGUAGGCUGCAACUCGCCUACACGAAGUCGGAAUCSCUAGUAAUCGCGGAUCAGCAUGCCGCGGUGAAUAC